Molecule: long non-coding RNA, 478 nt
Organism: Gadus chalcogrammus (walleye pollock)
Lineage: Eukaryota; Metazoa; Chordata; Actinopteri; Gadiformes; Gadidae
Exons: 3
Source: RefSeq, a predicted model, not a curated record
GUAGGAUAUAAUGUAUGAUAUUUUUGUCUUUCAGCAACUCCUGCAUUCUACAAGCUGGAGAAGGCGCUGACCAAGAAAACAGUCCUGACUGAGGGAUAUAGCAAAGCUCAGUCCCCACCACCAGACGUCCUCUUUGGAGGCAUUCCACGCCGUGAUCCUGCGGUUCGCUCCUAAAAAUGUGGUCUAUCCAUUUCUAGGAAUGCUGUGCAGACUCUACCUGGCUGCACUGCAUUACAAUGAGCAUUUUGAUUGAGGACAAGCCACUACGUCAUCAGGGGAUCUUAUGUUCAGACUGACCUUUCCUAUGGCCCGGAAGGGAGAGUGCAGAGCCAAACCAGUGAAGACUGAGGCGACAUUCCAGUAUGUGAAUGAUUUGAUGGACAUGAUCAUGGAGAAGGUCUUUGUCGACCCAGCAUCGCACAGAGCAGAGAUUCUGAAGAUAAACAUCCCGCCGGAACUGUCUUCAGAAUAUGAGCAU